This 337-nucleotide ribosomal RNA is filed under the name uncultured Pseudomonas sp. RNAcentral's name for it is "bacterial SSU rRNA". It matches the Rfam family "Bacterial small subunit ribosomal RNA", at positions 1045 to 1382 of the family's 1533-position model. Lineage: Bacteria; Pseudomonadati; Pseudomonadota; Gammaproteobacteria; Pseudomonadales; Pseudomonadaceae. The record is from RNAcentral.
AUGGCUGUCGUCAGGCUCGUGUCGUGAGAUCGUUGGUUAAGUCCGUACGAGCGCAACCCUUGUCCUUAGUUACCAGCACGUUAUGGUGGGCACUCUAAGGAGACUGCCGGUGACAAACCGGAGGAAGGUGGGGAUGACGUCAAGUCAUCAUGGCCCUUACGGCCUGGGCUACACACGUGCUACAAUGGUCGGUACAAAGGGUUGCCAAGCCGCGAGGUGGAGCUAAUCCCAUAAAACCGAUCGUAGUCCGGAUCGCAGUCUGCAACUCGACUGCGUGAAGUCGGAAUCGCUAGUAAUCGUGAAUCAGAAUGUCACGGUGAAUACGUUCCCGGGCCUU